GUAUUAUAAAAAAAGAACAAACAUAAAUAAUAUAUUUAGGCUUAAAAAAAAAAGAAUGAACUGUAAAAACAGGCCCAAAGGAGUAAAUUUGAUUUGAAUGUUUAAAUGGUCAGGUUUACGUGAGCUGGAAGUUUUAGGAAGAACCAGAAGUAAAGCUACAUUCGUGUCUCAGUCCAGACUCAUAUAUUAAGAACAGAAUAUUGUAAUCAUCUGAAAAGAUCUAGUACAUUUUUUUCCCCGUUUUUGAUAGCUUUAAAUACCAAAGUAUCGGAGCCUUUUACAUAUUGUGAUUUUCGAUUCCCUUUUGAAAAUUGAAAGAAGAAAUGCUUGCUGGAUUGUCAGGUUCUGCGUGCGCCGCUCCUAGCCGCUCACUUUUUAGCUGCUGCGCUGCAGCCUCCAUCACACAGUGACCUUCCCAAGCCCCGAUCGAGCUUUAAACCUUUCGUUAUUUUGCUUUUUGUAAAAGUUCCUUACAUUUACAGUAUGUUUUGUUCUUAAUUUGUAAGACAAUUUGAAGUUUUUAUGACCAUGUCUGUGCAAUCUUUUUUUUUUUUUUUUUUAAUUUAGUUAUGUAGGUGUUUUUACUUUAUAUUUGGAACAAAUAUGAUGACGGUAUUAAAUGCGGACUACCAAUUUCUCGGUGAAUAACAACGUGCAAUAAUCGUCAGAGUCAAAUCUAGCGUGCAGCAUAAUUAUCCAGAUGUCAGAUAAUAUUUGAGUCCAAUAUCAAUUUUUAUUGCUCUUUAUGCAAUAAUCAUGUUAGGUUUUACCAUGUAAACAGUUCGUCUUUUUUUAAUAGGCACGUAAAGCCGUUGAGUGCCUUUGAAUAAAUAUUUGCACAAAUGCCUUAAAAUAUUGUUUGAAGAGACUUUUAAGUGAAGAGUGGAAAGUCUUACCAUAAUAUUUUCCAACUAUAGUGGAAGUUUUUAUUUCUAUGAAGCGACACAAGCGAUUUAAACACAGAAGAUUGCAUCCAAAAGACCUGAAUGAUUCCCGAAAGGUCUGAUGCGUCGUGCGCGUUGGCAAGGAUAGCGCAUGAUGAAGUUAUUUUUUUUUUUUCAAAAAGCAAAACUCCCUCAGGGGAAAUAUGGCUUUUUUUAAGUAACUUUAAACGCGAGAUUUCACGUCAUAUUUAAUUUGUAAGUUAUCUGCCGUUGAUUUCCAUUUGUGUUUGAGUUGUCCCAUGUUCCUCCGUGUAUGUUUACAUGUUCGUAAUGUGCUGUUGACACAUCACCUCGACUUUUUUUUACCAAAUUCAAGCAGUAUUUCUUUAAAGAACAGUAAAGUACUGCAUUGUUUGGCAGCCACUUGUUCUUUUUAUUCACAUUUAGCUGUGUUGCUCACAUGCUUUAAAAAAAAAAAGGAAAAAAAAGCUGUCAUAUUUUUCUUUAUACCAAAAUAAAUCCAGCUGUGUUGAA
Long non-coding RNA from Hippocampus comes (tiger tail seahorse), 1418 nucleotides. RefSeq lists it as uncharacterized. The record is from RefSeq and is a predicted model, not a curated record. The transcript is spliced from 2 exons. Lineage: Eukaryota; Metazoa; Chordata; Actinopteri; Syngnathiformes; Syngnathidae.